This is a non-coding RNA of Erythranthe guttata (spotted monkey flower), 869 nucleotides long. NCBI's taxonomy places the organism in Eukaryota, Viridiplantae, Streptophyta, Magnoliopsida, Lamiales, Phrymaceae. The record is from RefSeq and is a predicted model, not a curated record.
GUUUUGAAAAUAUAUAUGAGGAGGUCCAACAAAUUUUUCUCUCCUAGUCAAAAACCCAAUUUCUGAUCUUAAUUAGUGAGACCCCCCUGAACAAUUUAAAAUACCUAUUUUACCCUUUUAAUUUAAAUUAAUAUAUACCCUAACCCUAACAUUCUCUUCGAUCAAACCCACAACCGCCGUUACAUCACUCUCUUACUAUCUCUCUUCAUCUCUCCUCUCUAUCUCUCGUUCACUCUUUUUUUUCUUCGAAAUUAACCACCACCAGAUCUGAAAAUAACAUGAGAGACGGAGCGGUGAGAGCAGCGGCGUUCCAGGAAUCACGGUGGGGAACGGCGGUCUGCGUGGCUUCACAUCGUCGGAGCACCACCCGUUCUUCUCCGCCACCCGAUUGACAAUUUCUUCCCGUGGUGCAUCGGUGGAAGACGUGAAGCGACGGCGGCGCGGCGGCAGCCCAGAAGAAGCCGAAGAUCGGCAAGAAGAUAACGUCGGCAAGGAGAAUCGCCGAAAGGAGAUCGACGACGAUUACGAGGAGAACGAGAUCCAUAGUCCGUUGCACGAGAUCGCGUUCCAGGUAGACAACUCCCCCUGGUGAUAAUCUGGCGUCUUGGUGUUUGAACUACAAUGUAGUAAGUUUUUUCACAGAUCUUGGUGUUUGAACUACUAUGUAGUAAGUUUUUGCGGAGUGGAUUGUGUUCGUUGUUCAAAACAAGCGGUUCUCGUGUUGACAAGUGCGAGCGAUUUGAGUCAAAUUUAGUCGUAUAGAUAACUGUAGUCGUGUAUAGUUCCAUGUAGUUAUAUAUAUUUAUAUACAAGGUAUGUGGUUUUUCUAAUGUAUAAUUAUCUUGAUGAUUGCGUUUUUUUUUUUUUCA